RNAcentral lists this ribosomal RNA (482 nucleotides) under uncultured bacterium. RNAcentral's name for it is "partial 16S ribosomal RNA". It matches the Rfam family "Bacterial small subunit ribosomal RNA", at positions 28 to 507 of the family's 1533-position model. The record is from RNAcentral.
GAUGAACGCUAGCGGCAGGCCUAAUACAUGCAAGUCGAACGAGAUUAAGAGGCUUGCUUCUUAUGAAAGUGGCGCACGGGUGCGUAACGCGUAUGCAACCUACCUUAAUCAGGGGGAUAGCCCGAAGAAAUUCGGAUUAAGACCGCAUAAAAACACAGGAUAGCAUUAUCCAAUGUUCAAAUAUUUAUAGGAUUAAGAUGGGCAUGCGUGUCAUUAGCUAGUUGGCGGGGUAACGGCCCACCAAGGCGACGAUGACUAGGGGAUCUGAGAGGAUGACCCCACAAACUGGUACUGAGACACGGACCAGACUCCUACGGGAGGAAGAAGUAAGGAAUAUUGGUCAAUGGAGGGAACUCUGAACCAGCCAUGCCGCGUGCAGGAAGACAGCCCUCUGGGUCGUAAACUGCUUUUAUUCGGGAAUAAACCUUUCUACGUGUAGGAAGCUGAAUGUACCGAAGGAAUAAGGAUCGGCUAACUCCGUG